UCGAUUUCGAUUUCGAUUUCGAAAUCUAUGUUUGGGUGAUUCGUUCUCAAUUUCGAAGCUUAUUUUGAAUCUCAGAAUAUUUGUUAAAGCCUUUGUAAACCCUUAUAUUGAAUCCUCACGCCUUCAAAUCUCGCCUCUCUCUCAACGCUCUCUAAACCCUUAUCAUUCUCACGAUGUUGCUCCAGAACGGUGUCAUCUUUCAGAGCGAUUUUGAUUUCGAAGCUCCACAGCCACCACUGGCGACGCAGCGACCACCAUCGGCGAGCGAUUUCGAUUUCGAAGCUCCAGAGCGGUGUCUCUCUCUCUAGAUCUCUCUUCAUCUUUGAGAUUCAGAGAUUCAGAUCGGUCUCAGUGAUUUCAUCUCAGAGCGAUUUCGAAGCUCCAGCGAGUCCUGCAAUUCUUAGGUAUCUUGCUUGUGCAUUUCCUGGAGUAGCUGAUCACUGGUUUUGCGAUUAUGGCUUGAGAGGAAAAUCUUACCUGAGUCUCUUCUUCGCCAAUAUAUGGAUGACAUUGGAGUUUCAAAUGACGAUGCAUCUGCUGGAUUUUUCCUUCCACGUCCGUCUCGAGCUGAGCGUGCUGUAGAUGAUCCAAUUAGAGAUAUGGAAGGCAUGCUUGUUGAUGAAUAUGGGAGGUCUGAUGCUUCUUAAUUGCUAUUCUUAUUUGAAUAAUUUUUGCUUUUACUUUUUUUUAGUACUUAAAUAUGAUGUUUUGUCACGAUGGGAACUGUUAAACAUAGUCAUUCGU
Molecule: non-coding RNA, 744 nt
Organism: Camellia sinensis
Lineage: Eukaryota; Viridiplantae; Streptophyta; Magnoliopsida; Ericales; Theaceae
Source: RefSeq, a predicted model, not a curated record